This 253-nucleotide ribosomal RNA is filed under the name uncultured bacterium. RNAcentral describes it as "partial 16S ribosomal RNA". It matches the Rfam family "Bacterial small subunit ribosomal RNA", at positions 524 to 776 of the family's 1533-position model. The record is from RNAcentral.
UACGUAGGGGGCAAGCGUUGUCCGGAAUCAUUGGGCGUAAAGCGCGUGUAGGCGGCUCGAUAAGUCCGCUGUGAAAGUCCAGGGCUCAACCCUGGGAUGCCGGUGGAUACUGUCGGGCUCGAGUCCGGAAGAGGCGAGUGGAAUUCCCGGUGUAGCGGUGAAAUGCGCAGAUAUCAGGAGGAACACCAAUGGCGAAGGCAGCUCGCUGGGACGUGACUGACGCUGAGACGCGAAAGCGUGGGGAGCAAACAGG